RNAcentral lists this ribosomal RNA (775 nucleotides) under uncultured Neocallimastigales. RNAcentral describes it as "partial large subunit ribosomal RNA". It matches the Rfam family "Eukaryotic large subunit ribosomal RNA", at positions 25 to 631 of the family's 3401-position model. The record is from RNAcentral. Lineage: Eukaryota; Fungi; Neocallimastigomycota; Neocallimastigomycetes; Neocallimastigales.
ACACUGACGUCGCGACGCAUAUCAAUAAGCGGAGGAAAAGAAACUAACAAGGAUUCCCUUAGUAACGGCGAGUGAAGGCGGGAAGAGCUCAAAUUUGAAAUCUUCAAGGUUCUACCUUGACGAAUUGUAGUUUAAAGAAGUGUUUUCUGUUAGAUGAGUAGGCAAAAGUUCUUGGAAUAGGACAUCAUAGAGGGUGAGAAUCCCGUAUUUGGUUAUUCAUUCUAGCUUUGUGAUACACUUUCAAAGAGUCGGAUUGUUUGGGAAUGCAGUCCAAAAUGGGUGGUAAAUUUCAUCUAAAGCUAAAUAUUGGCGAGAGACCGAUAGCGAACAAGUACCGUGAGGGAAAGAUGAAAAGAACUUUGAAAAGAGAGUUAAACAGUACGUGAAAUUGUCAAAAGGGAAGCGUUUGACACCAGUGUUGUUUUUCCGAAAAUCAAUUACGAAUGGCUUGAUUUUGUGUUGUAUUGACCUUAUCAGCUUUCUGCACUUUUUUCGAGUCUUUCUUAAUGCACUUUUCGGUUAACAAGUCAACAUCAAUUUCUUUUGUUGUAAAAGAGUAUUCGGAAGGUGGCUUUCUUUUCGGAGAAAGUGUUUAUAGCCCUAUACUUCUACAAUCGGAGAGAUUGAGGUCUGCAGCGUAGAUCCUUCGGGGUUAGAUACACUUGUGCUAAGUUAUAGCUUUUCAUAGACAACUUGUUGACUAUGUUUAGUCUUGUAGCUUACUCGCUUGUGCUAUUUUACCUACGCUUAGGAUGUUGAGUCGUAGAGCACGCAG